Non-coding RNA from Myodes glareolus (Bank vole), 3448 nucleotides. The record is from RefSeq and is a predicted model, not a curated record. Lineage: Eukaryota; Metazoa; Chordata; Mammalia; Rodentia; Cricetidae.
CACGGUGGCCGGGGUUGAUGACGUAUAUGCUGGCGGCAGAUAGGUGACCAGAGGUCAAGGCCUAUAAAUCUGACUUCCCUUCCUGAAGCGGGUUUGCGAACAUACCUGUUGGAUAACUGUGAAUUCUUAAUCUGUUUAGCCUUUACCGGGACUAACUACUGUGUCCCCUCAGCCUUGCGACCCCGGGGUCGCCACUGUCUCACGUUGUCCAGAGCAGCCAGGGACUCCCCAUAUAUCUGUGGCUGACUUGAAUUCCUGAUCCUCUUGUCUCUACCUCCCGAGUGCUGGGAUUUCAGGUCUCUGGCGUCUCUGCAGCACCCACCCUGGAGCCAUGGUCCAUGCCUUCCUCAUCCACACCUUGAGGGCCCCGAAUUCGGAAGAUACAGGCCUUUGCCGAGUGCUCUACUCCUGUGUCUUUGGUGCUGAGAAGUCACCCGAUGAUCCACGGCCACGUGGUGCAGAAAGGGACAGGCUCUUGCGCAAGGAACAGAUUUUGGCCGUGGCCAGGCAGGUGGAGUCACUGUGCCGGCUGCAGCAGCAAGCAUCUGGAUGUCCCUCCACAGACCCACAGCCUCAGUUCUCAGAUGAGCCUGUGUCUCUGCAUGAGGCUCCCCAUGGAGCCUUCUACCUGGGAGCCGGGGACCCUUUCCAGGAGCCACAGACAGUGGUGUGGCUGGGUGUGCUCUCACUAGGCUUUGCCCUGGUGCUGGAUACCCAUGAGAACUUGCUGCUGGCUGAGAGUACACUUCGGCUGUUGGUCCGCCUCCUUCUUGACCACCUCCGGCUGCUGACCCCAGGUAGCAACUUCUUGUUGAGGGCUGACCGCAUUGAGGGAAUCCUCGCCCGCUUCCUGCCACAUGGGCAGCUGCUUUUCCUCAAUGACCAGUUUGUCCAGGACCUGGAGAAGGAAUUCAGUGCUGCUUGGCCCCGCUGACCACCCACCAGAAUGAGGCUUCUUGAAAGGACAGAGAGGGAGGGUAAAGAUUACAUACUUCAAGGAGAAGUUUGGCAUCUCCCUCUUGCCCAGGCUGCUCCCUAGUUUGAUAAUGUGACUGCACUCAGGACAAAUGGAUUGGACAAGCUGGCAGGAAGGGGCCUGGGGAGAAGGCACAGGAAGCUAGCUGGGCCUUUUCCCAAUUCAGUGGAAUUGCAGAACAUCCUGAACCUGUAGCUGCCAUGUGACACUCUGUGAUGUUCACCAUGCUAGCCCUUGACUUCCAGCCCUCCCAGCUGCCUGUACUGGAGCCAUGUAAUGCCUGCCAAGACUUUAGUUCACUUUCUCUAUAACCCCAGCACAAAAGGAGUCUCUGAGACCCUGGCAAAUCCUGGCCCCUCCCUUUGCACAUCAUCAAGGAUAUUUUCAACAAGGUCUGUUCUGCAUCCGGCCCCACCACAGUUCAGAGCAGGGGGAUUCUGAGGCUCCGUGUGUGCCGAGCCCAUGUCUGCCGGGCAAGCCGAGUGCACAGCUGCUUUUCUUGUCUGCUGGCCAGCAAGUGCCAGGCGUCUGGCCCAGACAAGAAAGCCCAAAUGUCAGUGGGGUGACGCACACCUUUAAUCCUAGUACUUGGGAGGCAAAGGCAAGUGGAUUUCUGAGUUCAAGGCCAGCCUGGUCUAUAUGCAAGUUCUAAAACAACAGACCUACAGAGAGAAACCUGUUUCAAAAAAAGGAAAGAAAGGAAGCAAAGAAAACCCAAAGACUCAAGGUUUGCAGCUGGGUCUGUGGGGGAGGAGGGAUAUGGGUGCUGUAGGCGGUCCUUAGAGAUUUCCGUACUUUUCCACCCCAUGCUUUAUCACACCAGACAAUGUGGCCUGGCAUCACCCCUUGAGAGGGUGGAGGGUUUCUGUCCUUAGUGUGUCUGGGCUGGGCUAGCUUCCUUACUUGCAUCGGCCCGGUACAAUGUGGCAGAAAUGACACUGCCAGUUUAGAGUCAAGGUCUCAUGGGCAUUUUGCUUUCUGCCAUGAAAAACGUGUGGUUCAGGCUGAUGAAGGGUAAGAAGCUACGUAAAGUGAAAAGAACCAUCCCUGGGCUGGUGAGAUGACUCAGUGGGUAAGACUGCACAAACCCUGGGACCUACUAGCUUCAAUCUCUUUAACCCAUGUAAAGAUGAAAGGAGAAAACUGACUGAACCUACAGUUUCCUUUGACUCUCUCUCCUCUCUCUCUCUCUCUCUGGCAUGUGCACCCCUCCCACAACAAUAAAUGACUAUUGCAGUUAAAGAGAAUCAUCCCAGCUGAGUCCAUCUGAGACUAUCAGCUCCUAACAGAAGAGAUGACUGACUGAAAAGAGGAUUGAUAUCGCUGUCAGCACAGAUGCCCAAGACCAGAUUCUCAGCACAAAGGAGAUUUAUUUGUUCCAGACGGACAGAGGGCAGGGAAUAAGAGACCAACAUGGGAGAUCGAGAACGAGGGAGAAGGGGAAAGGAAUGAGAGAGGGAGGAAUAUUUGCCCCCGAAGGGACUAAGGACUUCCUCUGGAUAGAGAGGAGACAGGUGUGGCCGGUAGGCAAAUGGUAAAAGGGGAAACCCUGUGUUAGGAUGAGUUGGUUCAUUUUAAUUGGGUGUGUUAAUUAGGUGAGCCAAAAGGGGGCUUUUGAUUGCUGGACUUCAAUACUUUGGUAGCUGGACAUUGGUAGGAAGAGGAAGUGGCCAAAUAAGGGAAUAGACCGUGGUGAAUAGUUUUGAGAAUGUAAUCUAAUAGUUCUUAGCAAGGCAGAGGAAAUGGGGGACAGACAAAGCCCGAUAGCCAUGUUUGCCAUGCUUGAGCCUGCUAGAGUCCUUCAGGUAUAAGUGAGCCCAAGCAUUGUGUAGCAGUCUCCUCUUAGAUAAAACAGUCAGUGUUAUACAGAAGCUUGUUAAGGCUGGAGAUGUUGGGUCUGGAAAGAUGACUCAGAGGUUAGGAGCCCUGGCUGUUCUUUAGAGGACCCAGGUUCAAUUCCCAGAACCCACAUGGCAGUUCACAGCUGGCCAUAAUUCCAGUUCCAGAAGAUCCAACACCCCUUUUGGCCUCUUCAGGCACCAGGCAGGCACACAGCUCACAGACAUAUAUACAAGCAAGACACUCAUUAAAAAAAAAUUUAAAAGACACAAGAUAUACGAAGACGAGAUGAAGAUGCUCCAUCCUGAAGAGAUGCUGUCAAGUAAACAACUCGAACGAAGUCUUCAGGAAGUCCCCGAAACUGACCAGACUCACUGGGCCCUUUCCUCCCCAAGCAUAUAUAAGCAGUAAGCACUGCUUAUUAACACAGCUGCCCAGAAGAGGUUCAGACCUCAUAAGCUGCCUGGAAGAGAGUCUCCAGCCUGCUGAGCUGCCUGCACAGUGUGCAGCGUGCUCUGUUUCCCCAAUUCUCCUGAGCUGUCACUCAUGCUGGGAGCUCUUUGGUGAUGCAGCUGCCUCUGAGUUCCUUCUUGUAAGUAACCUCAAUAAAACAUACUGGUUUACCACGUUGAA